Long non-coding RNA from Empidonax traillii (willow flycatcher), 656 nucleotides. RefSeq lists it as uncharacterized. The transcript has 2 exons. The record is from RefSeq and is a predicted model, not a curated record. Lineage: Eukaryota; Metazoa; Chordata; Aves; Passeriformes; Tyrannidae.
GAUAUGUCCGUAAGUUUGUGCUGGUACAUCCAUGACCUAUAUUUGGAUACACGGGCUAUAAAAAGCCUUGGAACAAACAACCUCCUGCAGGACUCGGAUCCCCUGUCCCUGCUGUUGCUGCCGGCUUCAGGAGAGAGGAGCAAGCCCGCUCCAGCUUUUAUUCCUCCUCUUGGUGUUCUCCAGGAAGAUGGCUAAAGGCAGCAUCUCCCUGCGCUCCUUGAAUGAGACGCUGAACAGUAUCCAGACAUUUUUAAGCCAACUCAGGUGUCACACAUACAACUGUGGUUUACCUGCAGUAAAAAUGAUGGCUAUCAAGAGCAUCACAGCCAAUGGGAUGCAGUACUUCUGUUUAGGAAAUGAACGAUUAGGUGUUGACAGACUGACAGCUGACAGACUUAGAAAGUGCUCCUCUCCUCGAGAUACUAACAGGGUUCGCCCCCUCUGCUUUAUGACUCCAAUUCAAACAAUGGUGACCACAAAAAUAGAUACUAGAGACCUGACCCGAGGGAGAAAGGCUGGAACCACUCCUGCAGGAAAAAAGUGAAAAUUAAAUCUGUGGUAAACUUCUUGAAGAAGUGUCCAACAGAGUGAGUGAAUGGGCAGAGCUUGGAGGCUGCACUGGUCUGGAAAAUAAAACCCACGUGACAGCUCUAAAA